Molecule: ribosomal RNA, 497 nt
Filed under: uncultured bacterium
Lineage: Bacteria
Description: partial 16S ribosomal RNA
Rfam family: Bacterial small subunit ribosomal RNA
Source: RNAcentral
GAUGAACGCUGGCGGCGUGCCUAAUACAUGCAAGUCGAGCGAACGGACGAGAAGCUUGCUUCUCUGAUGUUAGCGGCGGACGGGUGAGUAACACGUGGAUAACCUACCAAUAAGACUGGGAUAACUUCGGGAAACCGGAGCUAAUACCGGAUAAUAUUUUGAACCGCAUGGUUCAAAAGUGAAAGACGGUCUUGCUGUCACUUAUAGAUGGAUCCGCGCUGCAUUAGCUAGUUGGUAAGGUAACGGCUUACCAAGGCAACGAUGCAUAGCCGACCUGAGAGGGUGAUCGGCCACACUGGAACUGAGACACGGUCCAGACUCCUACGGGAGGCAGCAGUAGGGAAUCUUCCGCAAUGGGCGAAAGCCUGACGGAGCAACGCCGCGUGAGUGAUGAAGGUCUUCGGAUCGUAAAACUCUGUUAUUAGGGAAGAACAUAUGUGUAAGUAACUGUGCACAUCUUGACGGUACCUAAUCAGAAGGCCACGGCUAACUACGUG